Molecule: ribosomal RNA, 497 nt
Filed under: uncultured bacterium
Lineage: Bacteria
Description: partial 16S ribosomal RNA
Rfam family: Bacterial small subunit ribosomal RNA
Source: RNAcentral
GAUGAACGCUGGCGGCGUGCCUAAUACAUGCAAGUCGAGCGAACAGACGAGGAGCUUGCUCCUCUGACGUUAGCGGCGGACGGGUGAGUAACACGUGGAUAACCUACCUAUAAGACUGGGAUAACUUCGGGAAACCGGAGCUAAUACCGGAUAAUAUAUUGAACCGCAUGGUUCAAUAGUGAAAGACGGUUUUGCUGUCACUUAUAGAUGGAUCCGCGCCGCAUUAGCUAGUUGGUAAGGUAACGGCUUACCAAGGCAACGAUGCGUAGCUGACCUGAGAGGGUGAUCGGCCACACUGGAACUGAGACACGGUCCAGACUCCUACGGGAGGCAGCAGUAGGGAAUCUUCCGCAAUGGGCGAAAGCUUGACGGAGCAACGCCGCGUGAGUGAUGAAGGUCUUCGGAUCGCAAAACUCUGUUAUUAGGGAAGAACAAAUGUGUAAGUAACUAUGCACGUCUUGACGGUACCUAAUCAGAAAGCCACGGCUAACUACGUG